CUAAUACCGCAUAAGCGCACAGGACCGCAUGGUCUAGUGUGAAAAACUCCGGUGGUGUGAGAUGGACCCGCGUUUGAUUAGCUAGCUGGUGGGGUAACGGCCUACCAAGGCGACGAUCAAUAGCCGACCUGAGAGGGUGACCGGCCACAUUGGGACUGAGACACGGCCCAAACUCCUACGGGAGGCAGCAGUGGGGAAUAUUGCACAAUGGGGGAAACCCUGAUGCAGCGACGCCGCGUGAGUGAAGAAGUAUUUCGGUAUGUAAAGCUCUAUCAGCAGGGAAGAAAAUGACGGUACCUGACUAAGAAGCCCCGGCUAACUACGUGCCAGCAGCCGCGGUAAUACGUAGGGGGCAAGCGUUAUCCGGAUUUACUGGGUGUAAAGGGAGCGUAGACGGUAAAGCAAGUCUGAAGUGAAAGCCCGGGGCUCAACCCCGGGACUGCUUUGGAAACUGUUUAACUAGAGUGCUGGAGAGGUAAGCGGAAUUCCUAGUGUAGCGGUGAAAUGCGUAGAUAUUAGGAGGAACACCAGUGGCGAAGGCGGCUUACUGGACAGUAACUGACGUUGAGGCUCGAAAGCGUGGGGAGCAAACAGGAUUAGAUACCCUGGUAGUCCACGCCGUAAAC
Molecule: ribosomal RNA, 626 nt
Filed under: uncultured bacterium
Lineage: Bacteria
Description: bacterial SSU rRNA
Rfam family: Bacterial small subunit ribosomal RNA
Source: RNAcentral